UACGAAGGGGGCUAGCGUUGCUCGGAAUUACUGGGCGUAAAGCGCACGUAGGCGGUCUUUUAAGUCGGGGGUGAAAUCCUGGAGCUCAACUCCAGAACUGCCUUCGAUACUGGAAGACUUGAGUCCGGGAGAGGUGAGUGGAACUGCGAGUGUAGAGGUGAAAUUCGUAGAUAUUCGCGAGAACACCAGUGGCGAAGGCGGCUCACUGGCCCGGUACUGACGCUGAGGUGCGAAAGCGUGGGGAGCAAACAGG
Molecule: ribosomal RNA, 253 nt
Filed under: uncultured bacterium
Lineage: Bacteria
Description: partial 16S ribosomal RNA
Rfam family: Bacterial small subunit ribosomal RNA
Source: RNAcentral